This 253-nucleotide ribosomal RNA is filed under the name uncultured bacterium. RNAcentral's name for it is "partial 16S ribosomal RNA". It matches the Rfam family "Bacterial small subunit ribosomal RNA", at positions 524 to 776 of the family's 1533-position model. The record is from RNAcentral.
UACAGAGGGGGCAAGCGUUGUUCGGAAUUACUGGGCGUAAAGGGCGCGUAGGCGGCUCUUCAAGUGACGGGUGAAAUCCCUCGGCUUAACCGAGGAACUGCCUGUCAGACUGGAAGGCUUGAGACCGGGAGAGGUGAGUGGAAUUCCCAGUGUAGCGGUGAAAUGCGUAGAUAUUGGGAGGAACACCAGUGGCGAAGGCGGCUCACUGGACCGGUACUGACGCUGAGGCGCGAAAGCGUGGGGAGCAAACAGG